AAUCUGCCUCAAGGCUGAGUUGUAAUUUGUAGAGGAAACUUUAGAUUUUACCUAUUAAAAAUCUUCUGGAAUGAAGUACUAAAGAGGGUGAAAGUCCCGUAUUAGUAGAAGUAUGUCUGAAUAUAGUUCCUUCAAUAAGUCGAGUAGUUUGGGAAUGCUGCUCUAAAUGGGAGGUAAAUUUCUUCUAAAGUUAAAUAUUUGCCAGAAACCGAUAGCGUACAAGUAGAGUGAUCGAAAGAUGAAAAGUACUUUGAAAAGAGAGUUAAAAGUAUGUGAAAUUGUUAAAAGGGAAGCAUUUGUGAUCAGAUUUAUAUUAUAUUGCUUAACUUUAGUUUUCUAAAAGGGAGUCAGAAUAAUAUAAGCUAGCAUUAAUUUUUUAUGGGAGAGAAAAGUUUUAGAAAUGUAGUUUCUUUAGAAAUGUUUAGUCUAGAACAGAAUGUUCCAAAGAAGAUUGAGGAAUGCACUAUGUGAGGAUGCUGGCGUAAUGAUUAUUAAUAACCCGC
Molecule: ribosomal RNA, 503 nt
Filed under: Phyllachora sp.
Lineage: Eukaryota; Fungi; Ascomycota; Sordariomycetes; Phyllachorales; Phyllachoraceae
Description: eukaryotic LSU rRNA
Rfam family: Eukaryotic large subunit ribosomal RNA
Source: RNAcentral